AGCAGCCGCGGUAAUUCCAGCUCCAAUAGCGUAUAUUAAAGUUGUUGCAGUUAAAAAGCUCGUAGUUGAACUUCGGGGUUUACUCAUUGGUCAGGCUUAAUUGUCUGUACUGGUGAGAUGAAUCUCUACCUUCUGAGGAACUUUCAUGCCAUUUAUUUGGUGUGAUUGGAAAUCAGGACUGUUACUUUGAAAAAUUAGAGUGUUUAAAGCAGGCUAACGUCUGAAUACAUUAGCAUGGAAUAAUGAAAUAGGACGGAUUGAUUCUAUUUCGUUGGUUUCUAGGGUCACCGUAAUGAUUAAUAGGGAUAGUUGGGGGCAUUAGUAUUCAAUUGUCAGAGGUGAAAUUCUUGGAUUUAUUGAAGACUAACUACUGCGAAAGCAUUUGCCAAGGAUGUUUUCAUUAAUCAAGAACGAAAGUUAGGGGAUCGAAGACGAUCAGAUACCGUCGUAGUCUUAAACCAUAAACCUAUGCCGACUAGGGAUCGGACGAUGUUAAUUUUAAUGACUCGUUCGGCGCCUU
RNAcentral lists this unclassified non-coding RNA (520 nucleotides) under uncultured Diversispora. Its description in RNAcentral is "SSU rRNA". It matches the Rfam family "Eukaryotic small subunit ribosomal RNA", at positions 569 to 1089 of the family's 1831-position model. Lineage: Eukaryota; Fungi; Glomeromycota; Glomeromycetes; Diversisporales; Diversisporaceae. The record is from RNAcentral.